RNAcentral lists this ribosomal RNA (598 nucleotides) under bacterium 3f100109b. RNAcentral's name for it is "bacterial SSU rRNA". It matches the Rfam family "Bacterial small subunit ribosomal RNA", at positions 325 to 933 of the family's 1533-position model. The record is from RNAcentral.
CACGGCCCAGACUCCUACGGGAGGCAGCAGUGGGGAAUAUUGCGCAAUGGACGAAAGUCUGACGCAGCAACGCCGCGUGAGGGAUGACGGCCUUCGGGUUGUAAACCUCUUUCAGCAGGGACGAAGCGAGAGUGACGGUACCUGCAGAAGAAGGACCGGCCAACUACGUGCCAGCAGCCGCGGUAAUACGUAGGGUCCGAGCGUUGUCCGGAAUUAUUGGGCGUAAAGGGCUCGUAGGCGGUUCGUCACGUCGGGAGUGAAAWCUCGGGGCUUAACCCCGAGCCUGCUUCCGAUACGGGCAGACUAGAGGUAGGCAGGGGAGAGCGGAACUCCUGGUGUAGCGGUGGAAUGCGCAGAUAUCAGGAAGAACACCGGUGGCGAAGGCGGCUCUCUGGGCCUUACCUGACGCUGAGGAGCGAAAGCGUGGGUAGCGAACAGGAUUAGAUACCCUGGUAGUCCACGCCGUAAACGUUGGGCGCUAGGUGUGGGGGACAUUCCACGUCCUCCGUGCCGCAGCUAACGCAUUAAGCGCCCCGCCUGGGGAGUACGGCCGCAAGGCUAAAACUCAAAGGAAUUGACGGGGGCCCGCACAAGCGGC